Molecule: long non-coding RNA, 1171 nt
Organism: Pistacia vera
Lineage: Eukaryota; Viridiplantae; Streptophyta; Magnoliopsida; Sapindales; Anacardiaceae
Exons: 5
Source: RefSeq, a predicted model, not a curated record
AUUUGGUGACGGGUGUUGAUGUCGUCAUUUUCCCCUUUUUCUGGGUUUGGUUUAGUGGGUUCUGGUGUGGCGAGCCACAGUGAGAGACUUGUGGAACCCGAGUAUUUGGAGAUGGAGGAGAGAGUUCUAAGCCGUUGAAGGUUACGUUGAGUGGGCUUGCCAGGCAUUGGACCUAUGCGAUUCCGAUUGGUAAUGGAGGACUUGGAGCCAUGGUGUGGGGUGAUGUUGCUUCAGAGACUCUUCAACUUAAUGGUAAAGUUGAAAUCGCUUUUCACUCUGUGUUGCUGACAGAAACCCUGGGAAACUAUGGCAUUGGGAAGUAAUUUCAGCUUUCCCAUCUCUCUUGACAGAUAGUGAAAGAAGAAUUUGACUGAUGAUCCUGGUGCCUGGGCUGUUGAUUAAACCUUUGUGUUAUAUAUCCAUAUAAGUCAUUGCAGAUGGUGGUUGUUAAACUUUCUCAGUUAGAUCCUGGCAACUUGAGAUGAUCCGUUCUUGAUAGGAGUAACAGGGAUCUUUAAUUGAAAUCAGAUCACAGCUCUCACUACUUUAGCUAUUGUUCUGCAAUCAGAGGCUCUAGAUUAAUUUUGGAGAUCCCAUUGCAAUGUUGUUGAAAUCACCAGUUCUUGUAAAUCUUGGGCAGCUAUAAAUGCGAUCAAAAAGGAGAGUUUCUAAAGCAUCUUAGCCCCAAGUUUCACAUCAGUUUGAUGAACGAAUACUGGCUUUGUUACAUAUAGUUGUGGAUGAUUUCCAAACCAUGUUUAGACUUCUCAAAUGCUGCAGCCACAACAAAAUGCAGUCCAAUGGAGGAAUGAAGCCAAAAUAAUACACAUAUGCUAGCAACAUGGUAUCCAAAUAAGUCAUGGGAUGUUUGGUGUUUCUUAUUUUGCCUCAUCUUGUCUAGAGGCUGCUUGUUUAUAUUGUAUGCAUACUAUUGAAGAUGGCCUUCCAGCAUUAUGAGAAGCAAAAUGACCAGAACCAGGGGAAACAGCUGCAUGUUCUCAUACGAAAGAGAGUUUUGGUAGAGUUGCGGAUGCCUUUUGUACGGAAGUCAUUUUGAUGAUCUUCCAAUAUGAUGCGCAGAGCAAUGACAAGAAUCAGGAAAAAGGCGCUUUUUGUUACAUGAAGAGGAGUUUGGGCAGAAUCUCUGAUGAUUUAUGUGGAGAAGUAGUGA